AAUUCGCUGAAUUCUGCAUGAAAUUCAUGAGAAACGGGGGAACCAAUGAACACUGGGGUGAAUCUCAAAACAUUGAGUAGGGCAACUCUUGCUGUCCGAAUCCGUCAGCUAACCUCGUAAGCGUUGUGAGAGGG
RNAcentral lists this small RNA (134 nucleotides) under Massilibacterium senegalense. RNAcentral describes it as "ydaO/yuaA leader". It matches the Rfam family "c-di-AMP riboswitch aptamer (ydaO/yuaA leader)", at positions 11 to 130 of the family's 134-position model. From Rfam's summary of the family: This family represents a conserved RNA structure found upstream of the ydaO and yuaA genes in Bacillus subtilis and related genes in other bacteria. The ydaO/yuaA element is thought to act as a genetic "off" switch for the ydaO and yuaA genes in its native state. Lineage: Bacteria; Bacillati; Bacillota; Bacilli; Caryophanales; Bacillaceae. The record is from RNAcentral.